UCAUCAAUGCCCUUAAUUCUUGGCUCACACGUGCUACAAUGGUUGGUACAGAGGGAAGCUAUAUAGUGAUAUAAUGCAAAACUCGAAAGCCAUUCCCAGUUCGGAUUGUAGGCUGCAACUCGCCUACAUGAAGUCGGAGUUGCUAGUAAUGGCGGAUCAGAAUGUCGCGGUGAAUGCGUUCCCGGGUCUUGUACACACCGCCCGUCACACCAUGGGAGUUGAUAAUACCCGAAGCCUGUGACCUCAUUGAGGAGCAGUCGAAGGUAGGAUUGAUGACUGGGGUGAAGUCGUAACAAGGUAGCCGUAUCGGAA
This 312-nucleotide ribosomal RNA is filed under the name uncultured bacterium. RNAcentral's name for it is "bacterial SSU rRNA". It matches the Rfam family "Bacterial small subunit ribosomal RNA", at positions 1190 to 1510 of the family's 1533-position model. The record is from RNAcentral.